AAAAACUUGCCUAAAGGCAUUAUGGAUACAGCAUCCAAAAAGUUCACAUCCAAAAAUAACUGACAAGGGAGGAUUUAUUUCCAGCUUCACCUAAGCUAGCAAAUUACAGCAAUGCAUUGGAUUGUGUCGAAGGAGCCUGCUGCCCCUCAACUACCGGUUCCCUAUAUUGAGGAUUUGAUCAUGACAGAUGCUUACACAAAAGCAACGGAUAAAAUACAAUGGUUAAAGUCACAGCUUGUUAUUUCAAAGGAAAGAAUAAAGCAGAGUAUCAGACGCUUGAUGGUUUGCAGUUAAAAGUCUUGUACAGACUGAAGACCAGCCAUUCUUAUUACCAUCAUCAAGUGCAAGGGCAGCUGUAUCUGCUGAACAAGUAUAUGUGUGACUUUGUAGUAUGGACAACAAGAAUACCUCGUGAUGAAAACUGGAAUUCAAACAUAGACAAACCUUCAGACUUUAACAAAAUGAUCUUCAGAAGUAAUAAGUUUAAGAAAGAAACAUUCCAGAUGUUCAUUCUGUUUGUAUUCUUUUUAUUGUACACCACCUUGGUUCAUGAAAACCUACACAUGUA
Ostrea edulis (European flat oyster) is the source of this 568-nucleotide long non-coding RNA. RefSeq lists it as uncharacterized. NCBI's taxonomy places the organism in Eukaryota, Metazoa, Mollusca, Bivalvia, Ostreida, Ostreidae. The transcript has 3 exons. The record is from RefSeq and is a predicted model, not a curated record.